GAAUCAGUCUCUUAUAAGUCGGUUCAGUUAAACAGUUGUGCCCCAUUCCAGGAGGCGGCAUUGCAGAUGGGAUCUCAAAGCCAAGUCUCUACAUAUGAUGCAGGCAAACAGAUGUUUUUUUUCAUCCAGUGACCACCAAACGGAGGAAUUACGGUCUUGAAGGGGAACGUAGCAAUCACUUAAGGAAACCAGAUGGGAGACUGAAGGUGGCAAAAGGAGAGACAUAGCAAAUGGAAGGUGUCCUAGAAUCACUCUUAAACUUUGAGAAGUUUGAGAUAUUAGGUUGGUGCACGAGUAAUUGCAGGUUUUGUCAUUACUUUUAAGAGCACAAGGACCAAACAUAUGAAUAUUUAUACUAAAAAAUAAACUAGAGUUGCUUCA
Molecule: long non-coding RNA, 381 nt
Organism: Symphalangus syndactylus (siamang)
Lineage: Eukaryota; Metazoa; Chordata; Mammalia; Primates; Hylobatidae
Source: RefSeq, a predicted model, not a curated record